GCAUUAUAAAAAAUUCUUUUAAGAAUACACUACAGACGUGAUAUGUGGCCUGCAAAGCCUACAGUAUUUACUGUCUGGCCCUUUCCAGAACAAGUUUACCGACUCCAGGUCUAAACCUUCAGGGACCUCAUUCAUCCAGAGGGAUGCCUGUCAUGUCCCUGAGCUUGGUGGGCUGGGUCCUCACAGCUCCUCAUUCCCUUUGAUCUGCUUUGUUUUCUUUUUCUGUUCAGUAAUAUUAGAGACAAAAUGUUCCAUAUAUAUUUCUGGGGAAUGGCAUAAUAGAUAUCAAAUCUAACAACCAAUAAAUUAAUAUUUGCCUCUUCCAAGAAGAUCAACAUCGUGGGUGACGAUCUGGCCCAAUCCCUGUGUCUCUACUGUGAUAGAAACAAAGUUCCUGAUUAAAAACCAGCCAAAGAGGACCCAAGCGAUCAAAGCAAAGGGAAUGCUGAUGGGGGUAAGCAGCCAAGCCAGGACCGUAGGCCAGAGCUGACUGCAAAGCUCAGAUGAAGAAACUGAGUCUUGUGAAGCCGAAUGCAACACUGGAGAAAGAAUGUCUGGAAAACUCAGUUAACGGCACAAGAAACACAGCCAAGGGCGGCAGCCCUAACUCAGGCUCUCUAGGCUGGUUUGGUGUUCCUCACUAAGGCUAUAAAUACCCCACCCUACAGUUUA
Molecule: long non-coding RNA, 672 nt
Organism: Symphalangus syndactylus (siamang)
Lineage: Eukaryota; Metazoa; Chordata; Mammalia; Primates; Hylobatidae
Source: RefSeq, a predicted model, not a curated record